Molecule: ribosomal RNA, 253 nt
Filed under: uncultured bacterium
Lineage: Bacteria
Description: partial 16S ribosomal RNA
Rfam family: Bacterial small subunit ribosomal RNA
Source: RNAcentral
UACGUAGGGUGCGAGCGUUAAUCGGAAUUACUGGGCGUAAAGCGUGCGCAGGCGGUGAUGUAAGUCAGAUGUGAAAUCCCCGGGCUCAACCUGGGACCUGCAUUUGUGACUGCAUCGCUAGAGUACGGCAGAGGGGGAUGGAAUUCCGCGUGUAGCAGUGAAAUGCGUAGAUAUGCGGAGGAACACCGAUGGCGAAGGCAAUCCCCUGGGCCUGUACUGACGCUCAUGCACGAAAGCGUGGGGAGCAAACAGG